UUUUGAUAUGAGCGUCACUGAAGAGUCUUAUGUAGACGAAACGCGCGUCUGGCGUACUAAAUUAUAAUCCUGGUACCUUUGAUAACUAUUUACACCACUGGGUCGAUGCCACUGCUGGUGGACGUUUCGUCCCCAAGGGUAUCACCAGCCCAGUAGUUAACACUUCGGUGUUGACAUGAAUAUCAAUAAUGUGGUCAUUUUUAUAAAUUUCCUGUUAACAAAACUUUGAUUUUUUUGAAAAACUAAGGAUUUUCUUAUCCCAGGCAUAGAUUACCAUAGCAUUAUUUGGCACAACUUUUUGGAAUUUUGGAUCCU
Molecule: long non-coding RNA, 315 nt
Filed under: Mytilus galloprovincialis (Mediterranean mussel)
Lineage: Eukaryota; Metazoa; Mollusca; Bivalvia; Mytilida; Mytilidae
Source: RNAcentral